AAAGAAGCCAAGUUCACUGGCUCUCUCCUUCUCAAAGGUUUCAAAGUAUUGAUAAAUGAUUGUGACUGCCAGAAGAAUCCCUGUCCCUGAACCAAUUGCACCCAUGAAAUCUGCCAACACUGUCAAUGCACCAAUGCAGACCCCUCCAAAAGCAGCAGCUGUGGGUAUGUAGCGGUUCAACUCUUUCUGUAAGUUAGACUCCCGAUGGCCAGGCAUAACCAUUUGUUGUUCCUGUAACAGGAAAUGUGAACAAAAACAUCAUAUUCAUACCAUUCAACUGACAACCAAUAUGCAGUUUUUAUUCAUGAAUCCUAAUACAUACAAUUGAUGACAGUUUGAAAAAGUAAACCAAUGUCACAUUCAUGUGAAAAUAACACAACUUUCACAUUGGCAUAUGAGCAAAUUGUUUUAAAUAGCACUUUGGCGAUGAGCUGAAAACAUAUUGACCACAGAAAUUGAGGAACAGGGGUUCUUUUGCACAAACUAGGGUUCACUUCUGGAGACCAUGCAUCUGGGACAGCAGAUUGCCAAACAGGACCACUAAACAGGAUAUUAAAGAACUUCAGAGCAGGAUCUACAGUCAAUUCAACAUUUAUGCCUAGUAUGAUAAUUGGCAACAAACUCACCUAAACAGCUACAAAUGCUAAAACUAGUAAAUCCUAAGCUCAAGUUAUGAAAGGACUCAAUAUGCAUCAAAAAAUCCUAUUGCACAAACAGUUCUCACUUCUUAGAGAUAUACAAACAUAGCCACUUCUCUACAUCCUUGCACUGGGGGGGAAAUGACUAUAUUACCUGAUUAGGGUAUAACUUUAUUCAAUAUAUGAUAUUAAUAAAAGAGGUUCUAUAAUUCUAUAGAGUCCAAAACAAGAAUAUCCACAUUCUCUCCAAUUCCCAGAUAGAACUGAAUUUUUUUUUUUCUCAAAUGCUUUUUACCUCAUAACAACAAUAUUUCACCUCUACUACUCAAUGGAAGUCAUUAUAAAAUAUGCUACCUCUAGGACCUAUUACAGAAUUUCAGAGGAAGCCAUUCCAUGAAUAUGUUCACAAAAAAAUGCAAUGUCUCACAGAGACAACAUUUUCUUUUUCUCAGAAAAAGGAAAUAAUAACAUAUUCAAUCUCCUCAUAAAUAUUCUAUGUUAAAAGUAAAACGUAAAAGGCGAGGAAGGGAAGGGUGGAACAGGCCUAAACUAAAAUAAAAUUUGCAACACAUUGGUAAUCCUAAAAGGGGUGUCUUACUGUGUUGAGAGAAAAGCUCUCAAUCAAGACAUAAGAAAAUUGUUCAAAAUAAUUCUAAAAUAUGAGAGUUCUAAUUUCACAUACCUUCAGUUGCUUGGCCACAUCUUUAGCAGAUGACCCAGAAACUUCAAUCCAUGUUUUUGAGAAGAGUGCACAUGCUGACAACAUGAACACAAAAUAGAAAAGUGCAUGAAAAGGAUUUGCUGCCAUAUCAGCAAGGCUUGAUGGUGCAGUGAUGUAAUAUGCAAGGCCACCAACAGGGACUGACUGACCAUUUGAAUAUUCAGAUUCCUUCCACUUGCCCAAAAGAUUCACAAGGAAAUUGUCACUGUAUCUCCGAUACAACAACUGGGAGAUCAAGUAGAGGUUAGACACAAGAGCAGAUUGCAAAAUAAUAGGCAUGUUAGAGGUAUAGAACAGCUUGAUUGGAUAUGAACCCUGCUGCCCACGAGCAUUCUUUGACCUCACAGGCAAA
Molecule: unclassified non-coding RNA, 1711 nt
Filed under: Hevea brasiliensis (rubber tree)
Lineage: Eukaryota; Viridiplantae; Streptophyta; Magnoliopsida; Malpighiales; Euphorbiaceae
Source: RNAcentral